This 301-nucleotide ribosomal RNA is filed under the name uncultured bacterium. RNAcentral's name for it is "partial 16S ribosomal RNA". It matches the Rfam family "Bacterial small subunit ribosomal RNA", at positions 509 to 808 of the family's 1533-position model. The record is from RNAcentral.
CAGUCGCCGCGGGAAUACGUAGGUGGCUAGCGUUGUCCGGAAUUAUUGGGCGUAAAGCGCGCGCAGGCGGUUUCUUAAGUCUGAUGUGAAAGCCCCCGGCUUAACCGGGGAGGGUCAUUGGAAACUGGGAGACUUAGAGUGCAGAAGAGGAGAGUGGAGUUCCACGUGUAGCGGUGAAAUGCGUAGAGAUGUGGAGGAACACCAGUGGCGAAGGCGACUCUCUGGUCUGUAACUGACGCUGAGGAGCGAAAGCGUGGGGAGCGAACAGGAUUAGAUACCCCCGUAGUCCCUGUCUCUUAUA